Molecule: small nucleolar RNA, 107 nt
Organism: Lycium ferocissimum
Lineage: Eukaryota; Viridiplantae; Streptophyta; Magnoliopsida; Solanales; Solanaceae
Source: RefSeq, a predicted model, not a curated record
AAAACAUGAUUCGGAGACCGCAUCACGUACUUCUUGAACCUCUCCCAAGCCUCAUAUAAUUGUUCCCCCGGAAGAUCCUUGAACUCAUAAAUUUUAUCUCGGAUUGA